This 235-nucleotide unclassified non-coding RNA is filed under the name plant metagenome. Its description in RNAcentral is "partial contains small subunit ribosomal RNA, internal transcribed spacer 1, and 5.8S ribosomal RNA". The record is from RNAcentral.
UUUCCGUAGGUGAACCUGCGGAAGGAUCAUUACUGAGUGAGGGCCCCUCGGGGUCCAACCUCCCACCCGUGUUUAACGAACCUGUUGCUUCGGCGGGCCCGCCUCACGGCCGCCGGGGGGCAUCUGCCCCCGGGCCCGCGCCCGCCGAAGCCACCUGUGAACGCUGUCUGAAGUAUGCAGUCUGAGACAAUUAUUAAAUUAAUUAAAACUUUCAACAACGGAUCUCUUGGUUCCG